This 465-nucleotide ribosomal RNA is filed under the name uncultured bacterium. Its description in RNAcentral is "partial 16S ribosomal RNA". It matches the Rfam family "Bacterial small subunit ribosomal RNA", at positions 338 to 795 of the family's 1533-position model. The record is from RNAcentral.
CCUACGGGUGGCAGCAGUGGGGAAUAUUGCGCAAUGGGCGAAAGCCUGACGCAGCGACGCCGCGUGAGGGAUGAAGGUCUUCGGAUCGUAAACCUCUGUCAGCAGGGAAGAACGGUCAAUGUGCUAAUCAGCAGCGAAUUGACGGUACCUGCAAAGGAAGCACCGGCUAACUCCGUGCCAGCAGCCGCGGUAAUACGGAGGGUGCGGGCGUUAAUCGGAAUUACUGGGCGUAAAGCGCUCGUAGGCGGUAUGUCAAGUCAAGGGUGAAAUCCCCGGGCCCAACGGGGGAACUGCCUUUGAAACUGGCAGACUGGAGUGUGGGAGAGGAGGGUGGAAUUCCAGGUGUAGGAGUGAAAUCCGUAGAUAUCUGGAGGAACAUCAGUGGCGAAGGCGACUAUCUGGAACAUAACUGACGCUGAGGAGCGAAAGCGUGGGGAGCAAACAGGAUUAGAUACCCGGGUAGUC